AGCAUAUGAAAACUAAAACCUCAUAUAAUCUUGGGAAUAUGGCCCAAAAGUUUCUACCCAACAACCGUAAAUUGUUGGACUAUGAGGGAAAGUAAUCGACAA
Molecule: non-coding RNA, 102 nt
Filed under: Aeribacillus pallidus
Lineage: Bacteria; Bacillati; Bacillota; Bacilli; Caryophanales; Bacillaceae
Description: Guanine sequence
Rfam family: Purine riboswitch aptamer
About the family: Riboswitches are metabolite binding domains within certain messenger RNAs that serve as precision sensors for their corresponding targets.
Source: Rfam by way of RNAcentral